This is a long non-coding RNA of Vicia villosa (hairy vetch), 1723 nucleotides long. RefSeq lists it as uncharacterized. The transcript has 5 exons. Lineage: Eukaryota; Viridiplantae; Streptophyta; Magnoliopsida; Fabales; Fabaceae. The record is from RefSeq and is a predicted model, not a curated record.
UCUUCUCUCUCUUCUUCUUGACACAACCUUUCACUUCUCUCCCCCUCUCCAUUCAGCUCAUCUCUCUCAUCCGUUUCUUCCGUCUUCAUAGCCCUGUUCGGAUCAGUAAAGUCCAAUUUCAUUUUUCUUCCAUGAUUUCUCACCUUCUUUGGUCGCAAACGAAGAGUUCCAACACAUUCUUCGUGUGUUGAACACCAAUGUUCAUGGAAAGCAGAAGAUCAUGUUUGCUCUUACCUCAACCAAAGGUAUUGGGAGAAGAUUCGCUAACAUUUGUUGCAAGAAAGCUGAUGUCGACAUGAACAAGAGGUUCAAUUUCAUUAAAGUUUUGUUUUUUUAGUUAUACGUGAUUUGUUGUUGUCCAGGGUUUAGGGUUUGUUUUUUAUUUCAUGAAACUUUGCUUAUAAUUUAUGUUUUCGUAAGCUAGGGUUUGUUCUUUUAUUGUUUAAAAUUUUAUAUUUUUAUUUAAAUUAGUAGUUUUUAUAAUGAUUUUCAUGAUUUUGUAUUUUAUAGUUCUUAUGUCCAAUUGCUUUUCUCUUAUGUUUUUUUUGUCAAAGAAACAUGGGUUGAUGAUGGUUUGUAGGAUGAAACCGGACCAUUCAAGCCUUUUUUCGCACCGAUACCUUACUCCUUAUAAAGCAUCAAACAGUACUUCACCCUUUUGGUAUUCUAUCAAAAGAGCUUCAGCACACAUCAUUGUCUUGGCCUCAUAUUCAGCAUAUGGUAUUGCUCGAUUUCUAUAAUGCUUCAUACAGACAUGCAUAUGUUAAAAACACUGCUGAUUCUAUGAUUUCCAAUGGAAUGAACAUAUACGCCGCAAUACCAAUGGCUUGAAGAAGAUCUACCAAAAGUUAACAGGAAAGAAACUCCUUGGUUGAUUGUUCUCAUGCAUUCACAUUGGUACAAUAGCAACUCUGUCUUUUGAUACUCAGAUGUUGAAAUCAAUACCAUGUUUUUAUGCUUGACUAUGAAUUAUCGUCUUCUCUUGCUUUUAUUUAAACAUGUAUUAACAGGUAUGUAAAAUGUAUUUUAAACAUGUCUAUUUCUUUUAUUUAUACCAUGAUCUAGGAAUAACUAUGUAGAAUGUAUUUUAUGUAAAAGAGAUAUCGCCCAGUCGCUGUGGAGUUGUCGUGAAAUAUACGGUGGAGAACAAAACAGAGAUGCGGCCCAGUCAUAAAUUAUGGAGUUAUAUCAGGCUUCUUGGAACAAAGCUGCUAAUUGUGAAGGGAAGAUAGGUGAUGGAAACAUUCCUCUCACCUUAUCACUUGGAUUUUUUACGGUUUAAAAUGGAGUAAGCACAUGUUUAGAUUCACUUAUUUGAGUUUAUCUAUUGGUAUAACCACUUACGAGUCUGAUUUGAAGAGUUUAUUGCAAUUUUUGUUAUAGAAAUAGCUUAUACGGGACUUAACCUUGAGUAUUAUACUUUCAAUAUCAUCGCAGUGUCGGGUCUGUUUUGUCGAGGUGGCAAGUUUUGGUUUUUCACAGCCGCGGGUAUUUUGGUAUUUCGGUUCUGUUUUGGUUUGUUGGGGUUGUGAUGGUUUGCUCAUAUUUUAGUUUUUUGUUGUUGUAUAGAUUGGUGGGUGAGACUGUGAAACUGUCCAUCUUUUGUAUUUUUUUUUGCUCAUUCUCAACAUUCCUUGUGCUGCUACGAUGAGUAGUUUAUGUAUUCUUUUUGCUGUUUCAAAUUAGAUAAAAAUGAUAUAUGUGUAACUGAUAUGUAGAUAGU